AUUGGACGCCGGCGGCAUGCUUUACACAUGCAAGUCGAACGGCAGCGCGGGCUUCGGCCUGGCGGCGAGUGGCGAACGGGUGAGUAAUACAUCGGAACGUGCCCAGUAGUGGGGGAUAGCUCGGCGAAAGCCGGAUUAAUACCGCAUACGACCUGAGGGUGAAAGCGGGGGAUCUUCGGACCUCGCGCUAUUGGAGCGGCCGAUGGCAGAUUAGCUAGUUGGUGGGGUAAAGGCCUACCAAGGCGACGAUCUGUAGCUGGUCUGAGAGGACGACCAGCCACACUGGGACUGAGACACGGCCCAGACUCCUACGGGAGGCAGCAGUGGGGAAUUUUGGACAAUGGGCGAAAGCCUGAUCCAGCAAUGCCGCGUGUGUGAUGAAGGCCUUCGGGUUGUAAAGCACUUUUGGCGGGAACGAAAAGGACUGUGCCAAUACCACGGUUCGAUGACGGUACCCGCAGAAUAAGCACCGGCUAACUACGUG
This 484-nucleotide ribosomal RNA is filed under the name uncultured bacterium. RNAcentral describes it as "partial 16S ribosomal RNA". It matches the Rfam family "Bacterial small subunit ribosomal RNA", at positions 29 to 507 of the family's 1533-position model. The record is from RNAcentral.